Molecule: ribosomal RNA, 253 nt
Filed under: uncultured bacterium
Lineage: Bacteria
Description: partial 16S ribosomal RNA
Rfam family: Bacterial small subunit ribosomal RNA
Source: RNAcentral
UACGUAGGGUGCAAGCGUUAAUCGGAAUUACUGGGCGUAAAGCGUGCGCAGGCGGUUCGCUAAGUCAGAUGUGAAAUCCCCGGGCUUAACCUGGGAACUGCAUUUGUGACUGGCGGGCUAGAGUAUGGCAGAGGGGGGUAGAAUUCCACGUGUAGCAGUGAAAUGCGUAGAGAUGUGGAGGAAUACCGAUGGCGAAGGCAGCCCCCUGGGCCAAUACUGACGCUCAUGCACGAAAGCGUGGGGAGCAAACAGG